GCACUCUUAGCUCAGCUGGUAGAGCACAUGGCUUUUAACCAUGUGGUCGUGGGUGCU
Molecule: transfer RNA, 57 nt
Filed under: Nelumbo nucifera (sacred lotus)
Lineage: Eukaryota; Viridiplantae; Streptophyta; Magnoliopsida; Proteales; Nelumbonaceae
Rfam family: tRNA
About the family: Transfer RNA (tRNA) molecules are approximately 80 nucleotides in length.
Source: Rfam by way of RNAcentral